RNAcentral lists this ribosomal RNA (253 nucleotides) under uncultured bacterium. RNAcentral's name for it is "partial 16S ribosomal RNA". It matches the Rfam family "Bacterial small subunit ribosomal RNA", at positions 524 to 776 of the family's 1533-position model. The record is from RNAcentral.
UACAGAGGGGGCAAGCGUUAUUCGGAAUUAUUGGGCGUAAAGGGUGCGUAGGUGGCGCCGUAAGUCAGGUGUGAAAUUUCGGAGCUUAACUCCGAAACUGCAUUUGAUACUGCGGUGCUUGAGGACUGGAGAGGAGACUGGAAUUUACGGUGUAGCAGUGAAAUGCGUAGAGAUCGUAAGGAAGACCAGUGGCGAAGGCGGGUCUCUGGACAGUUCCUGACACUGAGGCACGAAGGCCAGGGGAGCAAACGGG